AAAGCGCAUCAUGAUGAGUGGAAACCUGCUGAAUGUCCGGUACAAAGUGUAGAGCACUGAAUUACAGGAUUUAGCAGUCCAUUUUAGGGAGAACCUUUCAAAAUUAACAUCAAAAUUUCGAACAAAUUGACAAUAAUACCAUUUAUCUCAAAGCUAUAAUGGUUUUAUGCACUUUUUCACGCAAAAAAAUGCGGUAGUUGAUUUUACAUGUAUACCAGUUGCAUGAAAAUCAUCAUUACCCGUAAUGUAUUGAAAUAAUAGUGAAAAAAACGUUAAAUUGACAAAAUACGUAUAGAAAUGUGCUCAUUAAUAGUCAAUUUUGAUGCUUUCGCAAUCCAAUAACAACUAGAAUAACAUACGGCUGACAAUUUCAGAUGAAAACUAGUCCAUACACAUCAAUGUUUGCAAUCAUUUGAUAUGUAAAAAUGUACGAAUGAGAGGGGAGAGAAUGAAAGAUACAACUGAUAGGUUUGCGUGUUAAGUUAAGAGUGUAUUUAUUCAGAUAGGCAUAUACAUUGGUCACCGACAUGCGUAGACGAACCGCGCCACUGCGUGGCUUGCGCUUUGAUAGCGCUACACCUCCGUUCUUACCGAAAAAAGAAAGUGUAUUACAAUGUUGUUGUAGCCGCCUCUGUUGCUGCCGUUAUUUUGCAUUUUUUCUCCAUAAUUGCUGUUGAAUGCUAACACUUGUUGUUCGUUUGUUUCUGUUCUUGAUUAGAUAAUGAAUUUGGCGACAACUUCCUUGGCGUCAUCGAAUUUUGUUACCUGAAAUAUAGAUACAGUUCAGAUUCUCUCACUUGCAUUUUGAUGUUCUAGAAUUAUACGUUCAUUAUGCAUCGAAUACUUUUUUUCGCACAAUUUUACACAUUAAAACAGCACAAUAACUGAAAUUAGAAUUACAAUAAUUAAUUAAUUAUUAAAUUAGGAAGAAUUCGAUGUUGUUUUGAAUUGGCCAUUUGAUACAAAGUAAAUGUAAAACAUAUAUUUUUAUUUUCAGUCCUUAAACAAUUCGGGCCCCGUUUAGCUUGCUGAAUGAAAACAUUAAUUUUGAUAUGAUUGCGUCACUUGAUCAGAGCUAAUUAAAGUUUCACUUCACUUUUAUUGGAAAUUAUGAUGUUAUCAUUAACAUUAGGUCAUUAGGAGAUAUUCUCAAUAUCAUUAGCUCAUCGAUAAAUGGAAUGCGUAUUUCAUUGACUUAUUUUCAUUACUUCAUAGUCCGUAUAACUGCCGAACUCGUCAUGUAAUUUGUAUAAUACCUAUGUAGUUUAAUAAAAGAUGUAUUAUCGGAUCGGGUCAAGGACUGAAUCAAUAUAAUCUUUAUUCAACAGACUAUUUGAACCGUUGCGACAAACAAAUUCCCUCAGAAUAUUUUGGUUUCAAAGUGCAACAUGAAAGUUUUUUUUAACGAAGCACAUAGAAAGCGAUUCUCUUUGUAUUGAUGUAGGCUGAAGUAUGCAACUUUAUUUGGUGUGUAUACACACACUCAAAUAUCGCAGCCGAUUGAAAUUGAACACAUUGAAAUGACUAAGGUCCAUGUUUACAGUAAUUUCCACUCCACAACCUCUAUUCUAUAUAGAUUUUUUAUUCUUAUAUUCUUCUUUCAUUUUUCUCUAAACAACGAAUCCACGAUGGUAUUUAAAUUCUAUCAACCACUUUAAGACCACUAUUUAAAUUAAAACGAUGUUGAUAUUAAAUCACUUACUUUCGUUGGGAACAAAAUUGGAAUUCCAACCAACUCAACUGAAUGUUCACAUACAAAUGAAUGUACUAUUAUUAUGUUCAUAGAUUCCCAACGAGUUGAGUAUGACAAGUACAAACACAUGUUCCCUCCAUUUUAAUAUGAAUUAUUACAAA
Long non-coding RNA from Sitodiplosis mosellana (orange wheat blossom midge), 1854 nucleotides. RefSeq lists it as uncharacterized. The record is from RefSeq and is a predicted model, not a curated record. The transcript has 2 exons. NCBI's taxonomy places the organism in Eukaryota, Metazoa, Arthropoda, Insecta, Diptera, Cecidomyiidae.